RNAcentral lists this ribosomal RNA (455 nucleotides) under uncultured bacterium. RNAcentral describes it as "bacterial SSU rRNA". It matches the Rfam family "Bacterial small subunit ribosomal RNA", at positions 28 to 481 of the family's 1533-position model. The record is from RNAcentral.
GAUGAACGCUGGCGGCGUGCUUAACACAUGCAAGUCGAACGAAGCUGCUUAACUGAUCUUCUUCGGAAUUGACGUUUUGUAGACUGAGUGGCGGACGGGUGAGUAACGCGUGGGUAACCUGCCCUGUACAGGGGGAUAACAGUCAGAAAUGACUGCUAAUACCGCAUAAGACCACAGCACCGCAUGGUGCAGGGGUAAAAACUCCGGUGGUACAGGAUGGACCCGCGUCUGAUUAGCUGGUUGGUGAGGUAACGGCUCACCAAGGCGACGAUCAGUAGCCGGCUUGAGAGAGUGAACGGCCACAUUGGGACUGAGACACGGCCCAAACUCCUACGGGAGGCAGCAGUGGGGAAUAUUGCACAAUGGGGGAAACCCUGAUGCAGCGACGCCGCGUGAGUGAAGAAGUAUCUCGGUAUGUAAAGCUCUAUCAGCAGGGAAGAAAAUGACGGUACCUG